This 354-nucleotide long non-coding RNA is filed under the name Sus scrofa (pig). RNAcentral describes it as "lncRNA (ENSSSCG00060039505.1)". Lineage: Eukaryota; Metazoa; Chordata; Mammalia; Artiodactyla; Suidae. The record is from RNAcentral.
GGGGGAGGAGGAGGAGGGACCGAGGCGCAGGAAGCCGAGCAGGAAGCGAGCCCGGCGGCCGCGUUUUCCUGGGGAAGCGGCGGGCGGGGGGGCGCAGCCAGCGGGGCCCGGGAGCCGCCGCCGUCUCGAUGGGGUUCCAUCAGGAUAAAAACCCACGUUCUGAUAAACAAAGCACUCUAAAUCUGUGCCGUCUACCCCACAAGGCACUUGUGUCUUCAGCUUUUCUGCCAAUGUUUGCCAGAGCCUGAAUUCAGAGGAAAAUGUGCUGAAGGAAUCUUCUAGAUCUUCUAGAGCGUGGGAAGGCUGAAUGGGCUCAACAUGAAGAGCCUGAAAGCGAAGUUCAGGAAGAGUGAC